Cucurbita maxima (winter squash) is the source of this 363-nucleotide long non-coding RNA. RefSeq lists it as uncharacterized. The record is from RefSeq and is a predicted model, not a curated record. The transcript is spliced from 3 exons. Lineage: Eukaryota; Viridiplantae; Streptophyta; Magnoliopsida; Cucurbitales; Cucurbitaceae.
GCUAUCAGGUAGCUGCACAAACAUCGAACAAGAAGUAUUCUUUAUGUGAAAUCCUAUGUGUUUUGGGAUUCAUAUCACAGAGAAUAUUGCAACAAGAUGGACUGGUCUCAUGGCUAUGGUGGGAGAAAAUAGAUGGAUACUUUUGGUCAUUGUCAGCAAUCAACCGGAAGCACAAAUCUUGAACUUUGAUCAUCCAAAUUGUCGAAAGAUAGUCAUUUUCAGUACUUAUGGCAAGGAAAGGGGAUGGCUCAAGAUUGACCGUAGUUUCAUGGGUUGAUUAUAUUAGAUGCAUGGAGAAUCAUCAGAUUGUAUUCAAGUGAAACAGAGGAACUAAAAAGGGAGCAAAGAACACAAACCAAAAAG